RNAcentral lists this ribosomal RNA (367 nucleotides) under Verrucomicrobiota bacterium. RNAcentral's name for it is "Verrucomicrobia bacterium partial 16S ribosomal RNA". It matches the Rfam family "Bacterial small subunit ribosomal RNA", at positions 355 to 776 of the family's 1533-position model. Lineage: Bacteria; Pseudomonadati; Verrucomicrobiota. The record is from RNAcentral.
UGGGGAAUAUUGCACAAUGGGGGAAACCCUGAUGCAGCGACGCCGCGUGAGUGAAGAAGAUGACGGUACCUGAAUAAGAAGCCCCGGCUAACUACGUGCCAGCAGCCGCGGUAAUACGUAGGGGGCAAGCGUUAUCCGGAUUUACUGGGUGUAAAGGGAGCGCAGACGGCUGUGCAAGUCUGAAGUGAAAGCCCGCGGCUCAACUGCGGGAUUGCUUUGGAAACUGUGCGGCUUGAGUAUCGGAGAGGUAAGCGGAAUUCCAAGUGUAGCGGUGAAAUGCGUAGAUAUUUGGAGGAACACCGGUGGCGAAGGCGGCUUACUGGACGAAAACUGACGUUGAGGCUCGAAGGCGUGGGGAGCAAACAGG